This is a long non-coding RNA of Strongylocentrotus purpuratus (purple sea urchin), 369 nucleotides long. RefSeq lists it as uncharacterized. The transcript is spliced from 2 exons. The record is from RefSeq and is a predicted model, not a curated record. NCBI's taxonomy places the organism in Eukaryota, Metazoa, Echinodermata, Echinoidea, Camarodonta, Strongylocentrotidae.
CAUUUGAUACAGUGACAAUUACUUUUCUGAAAAAUAGAUGUGCUCUCUUCAUAACAAAUAUAUGUAUCUCUGUUUUAAAUCCUAGGUUGCAAAAUAAAGAGCUACAUGGCAUCUGCAUGUACUGCUAGUUCAUGACAAACGAACAUUUAUUGUCCAUCUCUUCAAAUUGAAAAGACUGCAGAGCCUGAAUUACCUGCAACGUUAUGCUUCUUAUGAAACAUCAGCCAGCCUACAGAUAGAAGCUCCUUUUUCCAGCUUUAAGCAAGAGGAACCACAAUGAGAUACAGAUCUUGGUAUCAUGGACUGGUCACUUUUUACAACCAACACUACUUGUAAAAUAAGAUUUACAAAUUAAUUCCUAUAAGCUAU